UCUGUGACGAAUAUGACGGUAGCAGAUGAAUAAGGAUCGGCUAACUCCGUGCCAGCAGCCGCGGUCAUACGGAGGAUCCAAGCGUUAUCCGGAAUUACUGGGCGUAAAGAGUUGCGUAGGUGGCAUUGUAAGCGAGUAGUGAAAGCGUUCGGCUCAACCGGAUAAACAUUACUUGAACUGCAAAGCUAGAGGAUGAGAGAGGUUAUUGGAAUUCCUAGUGUAGGAGUGAAAUCCGUAGAUAUUAG
RNAcentral lists this ribosomal RNA (245 nucleotides) under uncultured Candidatus Saccharibacteria bacterium. RNAcentral's name for it is "partial 16S ribosomal RNA". It matches the Rfam family "Bacterial small subunit ribosomal RNA", at positions 439 to 700 of the family's 1533-position model. Lineage: Bacteria; Candidatus Saccharimonadota. The record is from RNAcentral.